ACGACAUGCUAGGGGUGUCUGCGGUCACAGCAGGCUGAGAGCAAACCCUUAGAACCUGAACCAGAUCAUGCUGGCGCAGGGAAGCUGUCUAGAGAGGAU
Molecule: non-coding RNA, 99 nt
Filed under: Thermosynechococcus vestitus
Lineage: Bacteria; Bacillati; Cyanobacteriota; Cyanophyceae; Acaryochloridales; Thermosynechococcaceae
Also listed under: 1 other name
Description: Thermosynechococcus elongatus TPP sequence
Rfam family: TPP riboswitch aptamer (THI element)
About the family: Vitamin B(1) in its active form thiamin pyrophosphate (TPP) is an essential coenzyme that is synthesised by coupling of pyrimidine and thiazole moieties in bacteria. The previously detected thiamin-regulatory element, thi box was extended, resulting in a new, highly conserved RNA secondary structure, the THI element, which is widely distributed in eubacteria and also occurs in some archaea.
Source: RNAcentral